This 248-nucleotide unclassified non-coding RNA is filed under the name air metagenome. RNAcentral's name for it is "partial contains small subunit ribosomal RNA, internal transcribed spacer 1, and 5.8S ribosomal RNA". The stretch from base 1 to 46 matches the Rfam family "Eukaryotic small subunit ribosomal RNA", at positions 1786 to 1831 of the family's 1831-position model. The record is from RNAcentral.
AAGUCGUAACAAGGUUUCCGUAGGUGAACCUGCGGAAGGAUCAUUACUGAGCAAGGGUCUGUCGACCCGACCUCCCACCCUGUGAAGUCGCACACUGUUGCUUUGGCGGGACCGUCGAUCUUUGGUCGACCGUCGGACACUGUCUGGCCCGUUUCCGCCAAAGAACCACACAACUCUUGUUUAACACGCAAGUCGGAGUAACAAAACAAAUGAAAUCAAAACUUUCAACAACGGAUCUCUUGGUUCUG